AACGAACGCUGGCGGCAGGCCUAACACAUGCAAGUCGAGCGAACCCUUCGGGGUUAGCGGCGGACGGGUUAGUAACGCGUGGGAAUAUACCCUUUGGUACGGAAUAGCCUCGGGGAAACUGAGAGUAAUACCGUAUGUGCCCCUCGGGGGAAAGAUUUAUCGCCAAAGGAUUAGCCCGCGUUGGAUUAGAUAGUUGGUGGGGUAAUGGCCUACCAAGUCUACGAUCCAUAGCUGGUUUGAGAGGAUGAUCAGCAACACUGGGACUGAGACACGGCCCAGACUCCUACGGGAGGCAGCAGUGGGGAAUCUUAGACAAUGGGCGCAAGCCUGAUCUAGCCAUGCCGCGUGGACGAUGAAGGCCUUAGGGUUGUAAAGUCCUUUCAGAUGGGAAGAUAAUGACGGUACCAUCAGAAGAAGCCCCGGCUAACUCCGUG
Molecule: ribosomal RNA, 434 nt
Filed under: uncultured bacterium
Lineage: Bacteria
Description: bacterial SSU rRNA
Rfam family: Bacterial small subunit ribosomal RNA
Source: RNAcentral